This 88-nucleotide transfer RNA is filed under the name Chloroflexota bacterium. RNAcentral describes it as "Chloroflexi bacterium tRNA-Ser". It matches the Rfam family "tRNA". Rfam says of the family: Transfer RNA (tRNA) molecules are approximately 80 nucleotides in length. Their secondary structure includes four short double-helical elements and three loops (D, anti-codon, and T loops). Further hydrogen bonds mediate the characteristic L-shaped molecular structure. tRNAs have two regions of fundamental functional importance: the anti-codon, which is responsible for specific mRNA codon recognition, and the 3' end, to which the tRNAs corresponding amino acid is attached (by aminoacyl-tRNA synthetases). tRNAs cope with the degeneracy of the genetic code in two manners: having more than one tRNA (with a specific anti-codon) for a particular amino acid; and 'wobble' base-pairing, i.e. permitting non-standard base-pairing at the 3rd anti-codon position. The record is from RNAcentral. Lineage: Bacteria; Bacillati; Chloroflexota.
GGGGAGGUGCCAGAGUGGACGAUUGGAGCCGCCUGCUAAGCGGUUGAACCCCUAAAGGGUUCCGCAGGUUCGAAUCCUGUCCUCCCCG